RNAcentral lists this transfer RNA (65 nucleotides) under Utra nitida. Its description in RNAcentral is "tRNA-Asp". It matches the Rfam family "tRNA". Rfam says of the family: Transfer RNA (tRNA) molecules are approximately 80 nucleotides in length. Their secondary structure includes four short double-helical elements and three loops (D, anti-codon, and T loops). Lineage: Eukaryota; Metazoa; Arthropoda; Insecta; Coleoptera; Cerambycidae. The record is from RNAcentral.
AAAGACUUAGUUAAAAUUAUAACAGUAGCUUGUCAAGCUAAAAUUAUUAACUCUAAUAGUUUUUU